GAUCGAACCUUCUUGCAGCUUGACAUUUUGCAAAGAAAAAAAGAAAAAAAUGGAAUUUACUUUGAUUGCUGGUGGAAUUUUGGAAAAGCUGUUCCGGGAUAAUGUGAAACGGCAGAUUUUAUGCAAUUCGUCGUGAAUGGAUUUUACUCGGAGGCAUUCGCAGAUCCAGCCCAAUAACUCCCAGUACCGAUGACCUCCGACAGCUUCAACUUCAUCAUUGUUGAAAACCUCCGGUAGAGCUGAAGAUGAAGAAGAAGAAGAACGGUGUCCUUUAACAAAAUUUUGAGGCAUAGUUCCGGUAUUCCACGACUGCUGCUGAUGGCCAGCACUAUGUUUUCAUCUUUCUGAGGUUCACCAACAGCUGCUGCAGCAACUUGUUUUUAUUGACCUUCGGAAGUGCCAGUGAGUAGAGCAUGGUGAAGGAUGUUUUAGCCUUGGUUUUUUGUUCUAUAUUUUUUCUUGAUUAAUUCGCAUUUUCCCAUUUUAUUGGGUUCUUCCCACCAAGUGUGUGAUCGUAAAUUAAACUGCGGUUUUCUUUCGAACCAGCAAAACCUCAGUUUAAUUUCCGAUACCACACUUGGUGGAAAGAAUCUAUUAGGAUGGGAAUGGCUGCUUGGCAUGAUAAUUGGAGGGUAAGAGUCUUAGGGUCGGUGAUAGAUAUUUGAUGAAUAAAAAAAUCUACAGUAAACGCAUAACCGCCUUCUUAUUUCUAAACGGUUUUAAUACAGCAGAACCAUAUUUCAUAAGCUAAAAAUACAUUGAAAGACCAUCAAUCAACAAUAACACAUACAGUGGUCGUUUUCUUUCAAAUUUAUUGUAAAAUUGUUCUCUAACCAUUUGCUGUGCAGUAAAUGCUAUGAAAAACUGGAUAAUAUAUUGACCGUAUCCUUUACUGUAUUGCGAAAAAUUUGUUCGAGAAAACGAGCGAUUUUUUAUGGUAACCUAUCUUAACCGCCUAUUCCACAUACUGUAAUUUGGCGGAUUACCAUUUGUCAAACUGGCAAAUAUGUACAUAGAAUGGUUAGCUUACUGUUAGCUUGGACAGUCUGAGAAAUGGUUUUAUGUCAAUUGGUAAUAGUCAUCAACAGUAUGAGAAACGUUGCAUUUAC
Molecule: long non-coding RNA, 1109 nt
Organism: Aedes albopictus (Asian tiger mosquito)
Lineage: Eukaryota; Metazoa; Arthropoda; Insecta; Diptera; Culicidae
Exons: 3
Source: RefSeq, a predicted model, not a curated record